Paramisgurnus dabryanus is the source of this 174-nucleotide non-coding RNA. The record is from RefSeq and is a predicted model, not a curated record. Lineage: Eukaryota; Metazoa; Chordata; Actinopteri; Cypriniformes; Cobitidae.
GCGCCUCCUCCCGCCUCUCCUAAGCGGUGCUCUCUCAAGUGUCCGGCUCCUUCACAGGAUGUUAAGAAAGAGCAGGAGCCGACCCCAAAGAGAGCCAGCCUACAUGGGCUGUCAGCUAAGGUCAAGCCAAGUCAGGACCAACUUUCACCUCCUCCGAGUACAGCGCCUCCUCCC